This 493-nucleotide ribosomal RNA is filed under the name uncultured bacterium. RNAcentral's name for it is "partial 16S ribosomal RNA". It matches the Rfam family "Bacterial small subunit ribosomal RNA", at positions 30 to 523 of the family's 1533-position model. The record is from RNAcentral.
AUUGAACGCUGGCGGCAUGCCUUACACAUGCAAGUCGAACGGUAACAGGUUAAGCUGACGAGUGGCGAACGGGUGAGUAAUAUAUCGGAACGUGCCCAGUCGUGGGGGAUAACGUGGCGAAAGCUACGCUAAUACCGCAUACGAUCUACGGAUGAAAGCGGGGGAUCGCAAGACCUCGCGCGAUUGGAGCGGCCGAUAUCAGAUUAGGUUGUUGGUGAGGUAAAAGCUCACCAAGCCUGCGAUCUGUAGCUGGUCUGAGAGGACGACCAGCCACACUGGAACUGAGACACGGUCCAGACUCCUACGGGAGGCAGCAGUGGGGAAUUUUGGACAAUGGACGCAAGUCUGAUCCAGCAAUGCCGCGUGCAGGACGAAGGCCUUCGGGUUGUAAACUGCUUUUGUACGGAACGAAACGGUGAGCUCUAAUACGGUUUGCUAAUGACGGUACCGUAAGAAUAAGCACCGGCUAACUACGUGCCAGCCGCCGCGGUAA